GGAAGGGUGGCAGAGCGGUCGAAUGCGGCGGUCUCGAAAACCGUUACACGGACAACCGUGUCGUAGGUUCGAAUCCUAUCCCUUCCGCCA
This 90-nucleotide transfer RNA is filed under the name Rickettsiales bacterium. Its description in RNAcentral is "tRNA-Ser". It matches the Rfam family "tRNA". From Rfam's summary of the family: Transfer RNA (tRNA) molecules are approximately 80 nucleotides in length. Their secondary structure includes four short double-helical elements and three loops (D, anti-codon, and T loops). Lineage: Bacteria; Pseudomonadati; Pseudomonadota; Alphaproteobacteria; Rickettsiales. The record is from RNAcentral.